CUUGGCUUCAGAAGCUAAGCGGACCCACUUCUGUGUUUCCAACCAUUUGAUCUUCUUACCACUUAGCCCAUCACUGGGGAUUCCCAACUACUAAAUUAGGAAAGUUUGAAAAGCUCUUCAUUUCAACAUCAGUUCCCAUCAACUGUGGUAGGCGGAGAUCGUUGUUUUUACGAUAACAGCCUUGAAGGGCACAUCUCCACAGGAUCUCUACAGCCCCUGCUGAUCAGUCAGGAGUGAACAAGAGACCCAGGAAGAAUCAAUCCAUUCACUGACCGGCCACCAAUUAAACAUUCCCUCUUAUGAACUCGAACUGAAAGAACCAGAAUAACAAGGGCCUGAGGGAAUCACCCAAGGAGCAUCUUCUUGGUCCAAAAGCAUGGGAAGAAAUCAAGACGUGCAAGUCCUUUGCUUCAGUCCUGACAGCCUAGCAGGGCUGUGGAAAUGGCUUCCUCCUCCCUACGAAGCUUUGUAAGCUCACAAUCGAUUAGCCACUCAUGGUGGGAGCUGCAUUUCAGACUGAAACUAUCACCCAAAGAAUGAAGACAAAAUAUGUGAGGCUUUAAAUAUCUUCCUGGAACACGGUCUUCCAAACUCGCAGCAAAUUGAUGGAGCAAUCACCCCUUCACAUGAAAUAACAUAAAGAUGAAGAAAAAUGAAAGCUGCCUUCCUGCCCAGCCACUCCUCUUGACUUCCCCUGCCCUACCUGGACUCCUUCACAACCUGAGUCCCAGCUUCAAGUUGGCCUCCAUCAGGAAGGGCUCAGUGAAGAAGCCUGAAUUUGGUCAUGUCCCUUCUCAGCACCCUCAACACCUGGGUCUUUCUAAAGCUUAGUUCUGCCCACUAGAUUGGGACCCCCCUGAAGGUAGGUACUGUGCUUUAUCUAUGUUAUUCUUCUGUUCCUCAGCAGCCCCUGUAUGCCUGGUACAGAGGAG
RNAcentral lists this long non-coding RNA (932 nucleotides) under Sus scrofa (pig). RNAcentral describes it as "lncRNA (ENSSSCG00070000260.1)". The record is from RNAcentral. Lineage: Eukaryota; Metazoa; Chordata; Mammalia; Artiodactyla; Suidae.